This 460-nucleotide ribosomal RNA is filed under the name uncultured bacterium. RNAcentral's name for it is "partial 16S ribosomal RNA". It matches the Rfam family "Bacterial small subunit ribosomal RNA", at positions 338 to 795 of the family's 1533-position model. The record is from RNAcentral.
CCUACGGGAGGCAGCAGUGAGGAAUAUUGGUCAAUGGACGAGAGUCUGAACCAGCCAAGUAGCGUGAAGGAUGACUGCCCUAUGGGUUGUAAACCUCUUUUAUAUGGGAAUAAAAUGUUCCACGUGUGGGAUUUUGUAUGUACCCCAUGAAUAAGGCACGGCCAACCCCGUGCCAGCAGCCGCGGUAAUACGGAGGAUCCGAACGUUUUCCGGAUUUAUUGGGUUUAAAGGGAGCGUAGGUGGAUUGUUAAGUCAGUUGUGAAAGUUUGCGGCUCAACCGUAAAAGUGCAGUUGAAACUGGCAGUCUUGAGUACAGUAGAGAUGGGCGGAAUUCGUGGUGUAGCGGUGAAAUGCUAAGAUAUCACGAAGAACUCCGAUUGCGAAGGCAGUUCACGGGACUGCAACUGACACUGAGGCUCGAAAGUGUGGGUAUCAAACAGGAUUAGAUACCCUUGUAGUC